Molecule: ribosomal RNA, 1398 nt
Filed under: bacterium NLAE-zl-P375
Lineage: Bacteria
Description: 16S ribosomal RNA
Rfam family: Bacterial small subunit ribosomal RNA
Source: RNAcentral
AGUCGAGGGGCAGCAUUUCAGUUUGCUUGCAAACUGGAGAUGGCGACCGGCGNUNGGGUGAGUAACACGUAUCCAACCUGCCGAUAACUCGGGGAUAGCCUUUCGAAAGAAAGAUUAAUACCCGAUGGNAUAAUCAGACCGCAUGGUCUNAUUAUUAAAGAAUUUCGGUUAUCGAUGGGGAUGCGUUCCAUUAGGCAGUUGGUGAGGUAACGGCUCACCAAACCUUCGAUGGAUAGGGGUUCUGAGAGGAAGGUCCCCCACAUUGGAACUGAGACACGGUCCAAACUCCUACGGGAGGCAGCAGUGAGGAAUAUUGGUCAAUGGGCGCAGGCCUGAACCAGCCAAGUAGCGUGAAGGAUGACUGCCCUAUGGGUUGUAAACUUCUUUUAUAUGGGAAUAAAGUUUUCCACGUGUGGAAUUUUGUAUGUACCAUAUGAAUAAGGAUCGGCUAACUCCGUGCCAGCAGCCGCGGUAAUACGGAGGAUUCCGAGCGUUAUCCGGAUUUAUUGGGUUUAAAGGGAGCGUAGGUGGACAGUUAAGUCAGUUGUGAAAGUUUGCGGCUCAACCGUAAAAUUGCAGUUGAUACUGGCUGUCUUGAGUACAGUAGAGGUGGGCGGAAUUCGUGGUGUAGCGGUGAAAUGCUUAGAUAUCACGAAGAACUCCGAUUGCGAAGGCAGCUCACUGGACUGCAACUGACACUGAUGCUCGAAAGUGUGGGUAUCAAACAGGAUUAGAUACCCUGGUAGUCCACACAGUAAACGAUGAAUACUCGCUGUUUGCGAUAUACAGUAAGCGGCCAAGCGAAAGCAUUAAGUAUUCCACCUGGGGAGUACGCCGGCAACGGUGAAACUCAAAGGAAUUGACGGGGGCCCGCACAAGCGGAGGAACAUGUGGUUUAAUUCGAUGAUACGCGAGGAACCUUACCCGGGCUUAAAUUGCAUUUGAAUANUNUGGAAACAGNUUAGCCGCAAGGCAAAUGUGAAGGUGCUGCAUGGUUGUCGUCAGCUCGUGCCGUGAGGUGUCGGCUUAAGUGCCAUAACGAGCGCAACCCUUAUCUUUAGUUACUAACAGGUCAUGCUGAGGACUCUAGAGAGACUGCCGUCGUAAGAUGUGAGGAAGGUGGGGAUGACGUCAAAUCAGCACGGCCCUUACGUCCGGGGCUACACACGUGUUACAAUGGGGGGUACAGAAGGCAGCUACCUGGUGACAGGAUGCUAAUCCCAAAAGCCUCUCUCAGUUCGGAUCGAAGUCUGCAACCCGACUUCGUGAAGCUGGAUUCGCUAGUAAUCGAGCNUCAGCCAUGGCGCGGUGAAUACGUUCCCGGGCCUUGUUAAAGGGGCCCGUCAAGCCAUGAAAGCCGGGGGUACCUGAAGUACGUAACCGCAAGGAGCUCCUAGG